This 253-nucleotide ribosomal RNA is filed under the name uncultured bacterium. RNAcentral's name for it is "partial 16S ribosomal RNA". It matches the Rfam family "Bacterial small subunit ribosomal RNA", at positions 524 to 776 of the family's 1533-position model. The record is from RNAcentral.
UACGUAGGGUGCAAGCGUUGUCCGGAAUUAUUGGGCGUAAAGAGCUCGUAGGCGGUCUGUCGCGUCGGCUGUGAAAACUUGGGGCUCAACCCCAAGCCUGCAGUCGAUACGGGCAGACUAGAGUGUGGUAGGGGAGACUGGAAUUCCUGGUGUAGCGGUGAAAUGCGCAGAUAUCAGGAGGAACACCGGUGGCGAAGGCGGGUCUCUGGGCCGAUACUGACGCUGAGGAGCGAAAGCGUGGGGAGCGAACAGG